This 460-nucleotide ribosomal RNA is filed under the name uncultured bacterium. RNAcentral's name for it is "partial 16S ribosomal RNA". It matches the Rfam family "Bacterial small subunit ribosomal RNA", at positions 338 to 795 of the family's 1533-position model. The record is from RNAcentral.
CCUACGGGGGGCAGCAGUGAGGAAUAUUGGUCAAUGGGCGCGAGCCUGAACCAGCCAAGUCGCGUGAGGGAUGAAGGUUCUAUGGGUCGUAAACCUCUUUUAUAAGGGAGUCAAGUGUGGGACGUGUCCUAUUUUGUAUGUACCUUAUGAAUAAGGAUCGGCUAACUCCGUGCCAGCAGCCGCGGUAAUACGGAGGAUCCGAGCGUUAUCCGGAUUUAUUGGGUUUAAAGGGGGCGUAGGCGGCCUUUUAAGUCAGCGGUGAAAGUCUGUGGCUAAACCAUAGAAUUGCCGUUGAAACUGGGUGGCUUGAGUAUGUUUGAGGCAGGCGGAAUGCGUGGUGUAGCGGUGAAAUGCUUAGAUAUCACGCAGAACCCCGAUUGCGAAGGCAGCCUGCCAAGCCAUGACUGACGCUGAUGCACGAAAGCGUGGGGAUCAAACAGGAUUAGAUACCCUGGUAGUC